UCAAGAUUUAAAGUACUACCUUGUAGCAGUCAUCCGGAAUAGCAGUCCUCCACUUGCUAGUAGGCUUUAAAUGUUCAUACGAGUUGACCAUGAUCUCUACAACUUUAGGGUAGUCGUGGCAGGACUGCAAUACCUGCAAAGGACAACAUGAUAGGGCACCACCCAAGAAGCAAGAAGUACCGCGUCCAAACCUUCUUUUAAUCGCCGGGGGGAUCCUUCUGCACUGGCCAGACCUCUGGGUACCGCAUCAUAAGAGGCCACACUACGAAUGGAGCCAGAGCGACUGUGACCUGGACUACUGCGCCCCUCUAAGACCUGAGGAUGGACGGCAAGAGUCUGAUACUGCGCCUGGGCCUCCUUCAAGUGUUCAUUGACCGUGUGGCACAGGGUCUGCGCCUCGAUCCAGUAGCUCUCCAGCUUCAGCAUCCUUUCCUUGUUCUCCUCGAUGCUGGCCUUCAACUGGCUCUUCUCUUUCUCCCAACGCUGCUUCUCCCGCUCCACAGAGGCCAGCUGCAAGGAGGAGAAGAGGACAAUUUCAAUGACCAUGGCCACCAGUGUGAUGAGUACCACUCCAUAAAAACAUUCAUCCAAUUAAGGAAAGAGGGAGUGCAUCUUACCGUACAACUCCUGAUGUGUUCCUGAGGACAGAGGCUGCAAAGCUUUGCGUGACACCCACCAGGCUGGUCCCGUCCACCUCCACUAUUUGGUCAUUCACUUUGAUCCUAACACGCACAGACACAACACACAAAAAUGAGGACAUCAUUUAACACUUGAGGGUUAGAGGAUGAAUGUCAUUGUCUUAACGCUCAUUGAAACAGCUCGUAGUUCACCAUGCCCCUCUUGAAAAUGACUGCCACGGAAAAUAAAUGUCAAAAUUACAUGGUGAUACUAAUGCACGGGAAGCGGAAGAAACAUCAGCCUGGCCAAUCAUGCACAUUAUUUUCAAGAUUGGAAGACUGCACUCGGGCAGACGUUUCCCUCCGAUGGCUCUAAACUAACCACAAGACCGAAAAAAACGAGGCCCCAAAAGAAACAUGGAGGUCCAUCGAGGACACAGAGGCCAGGCUUGCCUUUUUUGCCCUUGAGCCACAAAACACAGCACAGCCAGGCUUUCUGCUCCGUUCUGGACGAGACGAGAGGUCAGACGAGACGUUGAACUCCUAUGAACCACCCACUGAUCAUCCAGUAAUACUCAUCUGACAUCUUAAUCUGGCUACGCGCCUCCAAAUCGGCCCGACAUGAACAUUCGCGAGCCGAGAGGGAAUUAGGAAAAGAUAAAGUGGCCACGAAGGAACGCGACACAUCUCCGAGGGUCAUCAGAAUCGCACAUAACAGUGAGCAUCAGCCGAGUCAAUCGAUCUGCCUGCCUGCCAUUGUGUGCCUCAGACCAUUAAACCUGACUCUGCAAAAGGCCAACGCACACACACGAACAGAACCAAGUUGAUGGAGAGGGGGAGCACGAGCCCAUCCCAGCUGACUUGGGGCAAAAAGCAGACUACACCAUGGACUCAACUGCCUGCGUCAGCAACUGUGCAGAUCGUAGUAGCCUCACCUGCCGUCUCUUUCGGCCGCUCCGCCUUCAAUGACGGUCUUGACGAAGAUACCCAGUUUCUCCAGGCCUGCGUCAGCACCAACACCCAUCCCGAUGAUGCUGAUCCCCAAGCCAUCCUCAUCUGAACACAUGAGCUCUACGGGGAAAAGCUCAAGCUUCUCCACCCUCUUCUCCAGCUCGUACUCUGCGGACGAAGCCACAGGAUCCACUUCCUCGUUACGGCGGUCAUAGUCCUCGUUGGAGUAGGUCUUAAAUACCUGGAGAG
Molecule: long non-coding RNA, 1817 nt
Organism: Phyllopteryx taeniolatus (common seadragon)
Lineage: Eukaryota; Metazoa; Chordata; Actinopteri; Syngnathiformes; Syngnathidae
Exons: 9
Source: RefSeq, a predicted model, not a curated record